CCUACGGGAGGCUGCAGUGGGGAAUAUUGGACAAUGGGGGCAACCCUGAUCCAGCAAUGCCGCGUGAGUGAUGAAGGCCUUCGGGUUGUAAAGCUCUUUUGUCAGGGACGAUAAUGACGGUACCUGACGAAUAAGCUCCGGCUAACUUCGUGCCAGCAGCCGCGGUAAUACGAAGGGAGCUAGCGUUGUUCGGAAUUACUGGGCGUAAAGGGCGCGUAGGCGGCUUUAUAAGUCAGAUGUGAAAUCCCUGGGCUUAACCUAGGAAUGGCAUUUGAUACUGUAAGGCUAGAGAUCGAGAGAGGAUAGUGGAAUUGCGAGUGUAGAGGUGAAAUUCGUAGAUAUUCGCAAGAACACCGGUGGCGAAGGCGGCUAUCUGGCUCGAUACUGACGCUAAGGCGCGAAAGCGUGGGGAGCAAACAGGAUUAGAUACCCUGGUAGUCCACGCUGUAAACGAUGAAUACUAGAUGUUGGGAGAGACAUACUCUCAGUGUCGCGAGCUACGACAUUAAGUAGUUACCGUCCGUCGGGUAGGUACGGUCGCGAAGUAAGUUAAACGUUAAAGUUAAAGUUAGUUAGGCGUGAGACGNGCGACGGACGACGACGAGGGAGGAGG
This 613-nucleotide ribosomal RNA is filed under the name uncultured bacterium. Its description in RNAcentral is "bacterial SSU rRNA". The stretch from base 1 to 521 matches the Rfam family "Bacterial small subunit ribosomal RNA", at positions 338 to 873 of the family's 1533-position model. The record is from RNAcentral.